This 106-nucleotide microRNA precursor is filed under the name Trypanosoma vivax Y486. The record is from RNAcentral. Lineage: Eukaryota; Euglenozoa; Kinetoplastea; Trypanosomatida; Trypanosomatidae.
UCACCCCGCCCAUUUUUCUUUUUCUUUAUAUAUAUAUAUAUAUAUAUAUAUAUAUAUAUAUAUAUAUAUAUAUAUAUAUAGAGAGAGAGAGAGAGAGAGAGGGAGA